Molecule: ribosomal RNA, 397 nt
Filed under: uncultured bacterium
Lineage: Bacteria
Description: partial 16S ribosomal RNA
Rfam family: Bacterial small subunit ribosomal RNA
Source: RNAcentral
AUACGUAGGUGACAAGCGUUAUCCGGAUUUACUGGGUGUAAAGGGCGUGUAGGCGGUUUAGCAAGUCAGAAGUGAAAUUCACGGGCUUAACUUGGGCGCUGCUUCUGAAACUGCUUUACUUGAGUGCUGGAGAGGAUAGUGGAAUUCCUAGGGUAGCGGUAAAAUGAGCAGAUAUUAGGAGGAACACCGGUGGCGAAGGCGGCUAUCUGGACAGUAACUGACGCUGAGGCGCGAAAGCACGGGGAGCAAACAGGAUUAGAUACCCUGGUAGUCCGUGCCGUAAACGAUGAAUACUAGGUGUAGGGGGUAUCGACUCCCUCUGUGCCGCAGUUAACACAUUAAGUAUUCCACCUGGGGAGUACGGCCGCAAGGUUGAAACUCAAAGGAAUUGACGGGG